Molecule: long non-coding RNA, 1250 nt
Filed under: Brachypodium distachyon (stiff brome)
Lineage: Eukaryota; Viridiplantae; Streptophyta; Magnoliopsida; Poales; Poaceae
Description: long non-coding RNA (BDIS_LNC003004)
Source: RNAcentral
GCCAUGUCAUUAGCAUCAUGUCGCAUGAAACUACUUUCGUUUGCACGAAGCUGUCUGUAAUGUGCUUGCCUUUUCGCGUGUUCACGAAAGCCUAAAACUAUUUUUGUAGAAAUUCUAUUUUGGUUCGACAAAUUAAUUCCGGGUCUAAUUAAACCUACACCGUCUCUCUUCUCAUUUUUAUUUCAAAAUCAAAUUAAGUAUUAGUUUAAUUUAUUUUUGUGUGCGAUUGUUUGUUGGGCCCAAAACCAGCCCAUCUAAGCCAAACCCUAACCCUAACCCUAGCUAUUUAAUCCCCUCUCCCUUUUCUUUUUCUUUUUCUUUUUCUUUCUCCCCUUCUUCCUCCUGCCGCCGCCACCUUCUUCUCCCCUUUCUUCUUCCUUCUUCCCUGCUGCCUUCUUCCAUGGCCGGCGCCCCCCUUCCUCCUGAGCACGCUCCCCGCGCGCGUCCUCGUCGCCUCUCUCUCCCUGCGGCCCUCCUCUCCAAGACCGUCCCUCUCUCCCCGUGUGCUUCCUCCCUGUCUCCCUCUCCCGUGAGCCCCCACGAGCGCCUCCAUCUCCCCAUUGCCCACGCCCGUCUUGCCGGCGCCGCCUGCCCUCUGCGCCAAGCGCCUCCCCCUGCUCCGCCGCUUCUCUGCGCCCCAGGCCGCCUGGCCGCGUCCGCCUCGUGCGCGCCUCCCCUGGCGCCCCCCUUCUCCUCUCUCCCCGCGCGCUCUCUUCCUCUACAGGCGACCACCUCCACACGCGCCGCCUCCACCGCGCACGACGCCACGCCUGCCCGUGCCGCCUCCACCUCGCUGAGUCCGCUCCGCCUCCCCUUCCACCGAGCGCCGCCCUCGGGCUGCUGCUCACCGCGGUGCCACCCAUUGCUCCGGCCGCCUCGCCGUUCUGCUUCACUAGCCGAGCUCCUACAGCCUCCUCUGCUGCCAGCACCCAUCUCCUCCAGCCUCCUCCGCUGCCGUCGCCGCAGGCCCAGCUCCUCCUCCUUGGCCCAUCUCCAAGCCUGGUCCAAGCCCAGCCCGUGGCCUUCUUUCUUUUCUGUUUUUCUGGAAUUGUGCCCCUUAUGUGUGGGCCCUGCCUCUCAGCCGCUUGCUGUUGCCGCCGCUCUGCAUGUGCUUCGCCGUGCUGCUGCCCAAGUCUUGCCUUCCGCACUGAGAGAUCGAAGGACCUCCGAGCCGGAGCCUUGAACGACUGCGACCACGACGAUUGAACGACUACUUCGCCGCGACGACUACAUCGCCUACGUGAACAGCU